Haemonchus contortus (barber pole worm) is the source of this 75-nucleotide non-coding RNA. The record is from Rfam. NCBI's taxonomy places the organism in Eukaryota, Metazoa, Nematoda, Chromadorea, Rhabditida, Trichostrongylidae.
GGCCCAAACUUCAAGUGGAGUAGAUCAGAAGGAUCAUCUGACCCUACUGAACUACUCUACUUCUAGUUUGUGCUA